CCUACGGGGGGCAGCAGUGAGGAAUAUUGGUCAAUGGACGAGAGUCUGAACCAGCCAAGUAGCGUGAAGGAUGACUGCCCUAUGGGUUGUAAACUUCUUUUAUAUGGGAAUAAAAUGUUCCACGUGUGGGAUUUUGUAUGUACCAUAUGAAUAAGGAUCGGCUAACUCCGUGCCAGCAGCCGCGGUAAUACGGAGGAUCCGAGCGUUAUCCGGAUUUAUUGGGUUUAAAGGGCGCGUAGGUGGAUUGUUAAGUCAGUUGUGAAAGUUUGCGGCUCAACCGUAAAAUUGCAGUUGAAACUGGCAGUCGUGAGUACAGUAGAGGUGGGCGGAAUUCGUGGUGUAGCGGUGAAAUGCUUAGAUAUCACGAAGAACUCCGAUUGCGAAGGCAGCUCACUGGACUGCAACUGACACUGAGGCUCGAAAGUGUGGGUAUCAAACAGGAUUAGAUACCCCUGUAGUC
Molecule: ribosomal RNA, 460 nt
Filed under: uncultured bacterium
Lineage: Bacteria
Description: partial 16S ribosomal RNA
Rfam family: Bacterial small subunit ribosomal RNA
Source: RNAcentral